CGCGCGUUGUGACCAAUGCUGCAUACAGGAGAUGAGGGAGGACGGCCAGACACCUGGAAGCCGGAAAAUGCAAUCGGUGCAGUUUAACAUCUGAGGGCUGUCCAAGAGAGGAAGAGAUUCCCACAGUACCAUUGUCAUGCCAGGAUGACUGCAGGCAGAAACAAAGCUGAGCCACUUCCCCUCCCCUCAAGAGCAAUAUCAGAGACUUAAAGUUAUGAAGAAGAAAUUGACAGAGCAAGAGCAUCGCCAUCGUGGACAAGCACCUCAUUUUAAAAUUCACCUUAAUCAAAAACUCUAAAUCCAAAGGGCAUCAGCCUAAUGGCUAAGGUCAGCAUGACCAUAAACCACAAAUAAUCUCGCUGACCAAAAACAUUCCAGACUCCUCCCUGACCAGAGACAUGCACCAAGAUAACCCCCACUCUGGCUGGGAAGAUGCCAGCCCUGAGAAACCCCGCUCCGGCCAGAAAGAUGUCUGCCCCAAAAUAACCUCCCCUCCGCCCAGAGACAUUCCAAGCUUGUAAUAAGCCCCCUCACCCUAAAACCAAUAUAUACUCUUAGCCUGUAAGAAAAAGUGCUCCUGACCAAAAUAGGCCAGAAGCCCUUCAGAUUGUUUCUAAAAUAAACCUGUCUUUAACCAUCAAGCUGUG
This 647-nucleotide long non-coding RNA is filed under the name Pan troglodytes (chimpanzee). RNAcentral describes it as "long non-coding RNA NONPTRT007984". The record is from RNAcentral. Lineage: Eukaryota; Metazoa; Chordata; Mammalia; Primates; Hominidae.